RNAcentral lists this ribosomal RNA (497 nucleotides) under uncultured bacterium. Its description in RNAcentral is "partial 16S ribosomal RNA". It matches the Rfam family "Bacterial small subunit ribosomal RNA", at positions 28 to 507 of the family's 1533-position model. The record is from RNAcentral.
GAUGAACGCUGGCGGCGUGCCUAAUACAUGCAAGUCGAGCGAACGGACGAGAAGCUUGCUUCUCUGAUGUUAGCGGCGGACGGGUGAGUAACACGUGGAUAACCUACCUAUAAGACUGGGAUAACUUCGGGAAACCGGAGCUAAUACCGGAUAAUAUUUUGAACCGCAUGGUUCAAAAGUGAAAGACGGUCUUGCUGUCACUUAUAGAUGGAUCCGCGCUGCAUUAGCUAGUUGGUAAGGUAACGGCUUACCAAGGCAACGAUGCAUAGCCGACCUGAGAGGGGGAGCGGCGAGGCUGGAAGGGAGACGCGGUCAAGAGGCCGACGGGAGGGAGCAGUAGGGAAGGGGGCGCAAUGGGGGGAAGCCUGACGGAGCGGGGGGGCGUGAGUGAGGAAGGUCUUGGGAGCGGAAAGCGCUGUUAGUAGGGAAGAACAGAUGUGUAAGGAACGGUGCAGAGAGUGACGGUACCGGGUCAGGAAGCCACGGCUAACUACGUG